Non-coding RNA from Equus caballus (horse), 4729 nucleotides. NCBI's taxonomy places the organism in Eukaryota, Metazoa, Chordata, Mammalia, Perissodactyla, Equidae. The record is from RefSeq and is a predicted model, not a curated record.
CUGCCCAAGUGGAGUACAUGAACUUAACCACUGUGCCACCAGGCCAGCCCCUGAAACAACUGUUUAUUAUGAGAAGCUGUUGAGGAGACUCCCUGACGAUGUGAGCCUUCGACUUAGAAUGUUGGGUGAUUUAAUAACAGUCGUCCCCCAGAGGUCCCGGGCUUUGACUUUAUUCCUCUGACAGGUAGGAGAAAGCCCUGUCAGAAACAGAAUCAUCAUGCCCGACUCAGGAGAAGGAGUGCAAUAAAAGGCCCCAUAAUGUGACACAGGUUCCUUUCUGGGAGAUAAGGAAAGGGCGAACAUGAAGGGGAGGACCAAUGGCUGGAUUCCCUGAAGAGGCCCCUUCACAGAGGGAAACGUGGCAAUGGGUCCUGAACAGAUGGACAAGAUGGAAAUUACAGAGGAGAUAGAAGGAGGCUGGCGGGCCUGUGUGAAAGUGAACAGGCCCUGCAGAAGCCAUGGGGAAAGGACAUGUGAGGGCUCGAAAAGAGAGUGCUCUGUGAGCUUGAGGAAUUAUUAGAAGGAAAAGUUAGAAAAAUGGACUGAGGAAGUCCCUGGGGUGGGGUCCUUCUCAGAGACUGGGAUUGUUAGGUCUGUGUCCCAAGGCCCAGCCUCUGAGGUCCCACAGCCCCCAGAAUCCCCAGCGCAGCUCUUAGGGGACAAUGCUGAGGGACUAUAACUCCAACUGUAGUGAAAUGGGAUUUAUGGGGAAAUAAUUGCAGCCCUGCCUCUGAAAAUUCAAGUUUCCCUACAUCCUAAUUAGAAUUCUUUCAAACAAAAGGACUAAGGCUGGGCCUGGUGCCCCACCACCUCCAGGAGAUUGUCCACAUACACUACACUUUAUAUGUCGGAAAAGGGUGAGGUCUCAAAACAUUCCUGUGAUUGCUGGACCCAGGAGCUCAAUGAUCUGCUGUCCCAGGAUCAGAGAAGGGCCUUCAUAAAAGAAUCGCCCCCUCAGAGUUGGUACAUGUGUUAGCGAGAGCCAAGAGAGAGUCACAACACUGUAGGGCAUUUGACCCCUUUGUUUGGACUGUGGUGAUUGUCCCCUUAUCAGCUUGUAUAAUUAUUAUUUGGAGGUACAUAAGUCCUGAAAUGUAUACCUACCUGCUGGUUGGACAAGGUCAUUGUGACCCCUGCUGGUGGCUUCAGAUGAUGUUGGCCAGGUUCACGGCCUGUACUCUCAACAGCCUCAGAUACCUGUUGGCUGUGAGAGCCUGUCUGUGCUUCCAAGGCGGGUGGAGGUAGUGCAACUGAAACAGACUUGUGAUCCCGAAGGUGAAAAGGAAAUUAUCCUUUUCAUUCAGUAAUUAAAGCAGGUGAGAUGCUACACAUCCCAGCCCCCACCCCAUCCAGCCAAUGAAAAGGUCGCUGGUGCCUGGCAUCUCACUGUGGACUACGGAGGCAGUUUACCACUAUUCCUGCAGACCCUGGUAUCGUUACUGUGGGUGGACAAACUGCUGCCACCACUGGCCUUGGGAGGCAGCCUUGGACGUUGCUAACACCUUCCGUUCUGUAGUCCUCCAAACAGGAACAUUUUUCUUUAUUUAGCAAGUCAUGCAAUAUAUUUUUGCUAUACUUCUGCAGGAGUGUUUAAAGUAUUCUGCAAUAUGCAUCAACGGAUUGAAUAGACCUUGGCACAAUGUAAGCUACUGGCAUUAUACUGAUAGUAGCCCCCAGUGAAGAAACUGUUCAGAUCAUGUUGCCAACCUCAUUAAGGCUGGGUGUGCCUUGAGUGAGGAUUGAAUCCAGGGCUCUAUAUCUUUCUUGGGAGCCACCCAGCAGAGCCCAAAGAGACAUUCCACAACCUAGUGAGGACAAACCGUUAGCCUUACAGCCUCCAAGAGAAAGUGCCCCCACCCUCUUGCCAAUAUCUGAUUAAUUUCUUUGGCCCUUGGAGGCAGCACAUCCCAUGACUUUGUAUGAAAUUCCCCGACAAGCAACAAAACUUGACAGGACCGGGGACCUGGUUACAAGAAGCCCUGGAAGCAUCCAAUCAGCUGUAAAGCAAUUUUUACAUUUGGGCUCCCUCCUCCUUCAGGCCUCACAGAGCUAUGGGUGGCUGUGACCAACCCCACUAAAGUAUCUGGCAACGAGAUUCUUCCAGCAUCCGCCAGCCCCUGGGCUUUUGAACUCAACGCCUUCCUGUCCAUCGAGCAGGACAGCCUCAGCAGCUACCGGCCUCCUCCUGUGCCGGAGGGAAGACUGAUCCUCUCACCAGAGGGAAGCUUGUCACUCUCCAACCAGGCGCUCCUGUCCUGCUAUGAGGCCUGCUGUGGCGGGAGUAUAGUCCAGGAUUUGUUUACCAAGAGGGUAAGUGGUUGUACUCCACGCGAUCACUCAGGGAUCCAGGCUGCUGGAAGUUCUGCCAUCUACAACACAUCAUUUCCAAGGUCAGUUUGCUCCCAGUCAAUGAUGAGGGGUGUCAAGUUGAACUGAAGUUCAAGGCCUCAAGCUUGUGAGGUGAAUGUUUCACUUAUCACAACUCACAUCCCUUUGUCCAGACCUUCAUCACAUGGUCACAUCUAGCUGCAAGCUGCUAAGGGGCCUGGAAAUGUGAUCCGUGUGCAGCCAUGUCUCAGCUACAGCUCUGUUCAUGUGGAAGAAGGAAGAAUGGAUUCUGGUAGACAGUUAGAAGCCUUUACACAGUCUGCCUCUGGUCACCAAACAUUCACACAUACCCUUCUUUCCACAUUUAGAAAAAAACUCACCUCAUCCUUAGAGGGACAUUUAAUUUAAGUCUCAUUCAGUUAUGACCUCCAGCUCAAAAUCCAGGCUCUUGAAGUAACGUCUAGGUAUCUCUAUUGGACCCACACAUGGUUCCUCUUGGACCAGUGACCUAUAAAAUAAUAAAGCCUAAAUUAUCUACUCCCCCCUCCAGAUACACACAGAUGAUAUACAAUGGUGGAAUAAGUGCAGGGUCAUGGCCAUAAACCCCCAUUAAGCAAAGGGAAACACACAGCAGUCAUUGGUCUAUAAUGAUGAUUAAAUCUUACGGGUGGGAAUCCUAAAUAGUCCUUACCCUACCAGUGGAGUGAGUUCCUUGAUUAGCCCCUCUGGCUGUCCCUGGUGUUCCCAAUGGGAAGAAAUUCCUUGUCUGUCACAGUGUGACUCCUGACUUUGUUUUCUGGAAGGUUCUUCCUUCUCCAUUAUCCACCAUGGCCAAUAUAAGAGGAACUGAGGAGUAUCUAUCUCUUAGGACUGCUCUGUACAGGUUUGGCAGGCUGCCUUCUGUUCCUAAAGUUUAGGGGCUAGCAGUUUAUUUUGUGACUCAGCCCCGGACAUUUUCAGAUAAGGCUCAAGGUUUCUUUGGCAAAACAUUCCCCUCAGAAUCUCACAGAGCUUCUUGUCUAUUUGCUUCAUGUGUCAGUAACCACAACCAAAGUCCUGUCUCAGUCUAGUUCUUCGGUCUGUUCUAGUUCUAUACGUCCUUGAGUGAUCCGUGCCUCUCUCUCACCUUUAUGGUAGCAGUCCUGGGCGGAAAGAUAGCACCCUUGACCUAAUCUUUUCCUCAGGCCCCUGUCUCUUUCUUUGGCUUAACAAAAGGCUUUGGGAAAGGCUUUGAACAAUGUAUGAGUUCUCCAUUGCUGUCCUAACAAGUUAUCACAAACUUAGUGGCUUAAAAGAACACAAAUUUGUCAUUAUUAUGGUUCCGUACGUGAGUCCAACACCAGUCUCACUAAAGUACAAUGCAGGUGUCAGCAGGGCUGUGCUCCUUUCUGGAGGUUUUCAUGGAGAAUCCAUUUCCUUGCCUUUUUGAGCAUCUAGAGGCUGCCUGCAUCCCUUGACUCAUGGCCCUUUCCUACAUUUUUGAAGGCAGCAAUAUCACUUCUCUUUGACCCUUCCUCCCAUCAUCACGUCUCUCUCUCUGAUCACAGCUGGGAAUAUUCUCUGCCUUUAAGAAUUCAUGUGAUUAAAUUGGGCCCACCAGGAUAAUCUCCCCAUCUCAAGUCCUCAACCUGAAUCACAUCUGCCAAGUCCCCUUUGCCAUGUAAGGUAACACAUUCACAGGUCCUGGGGAUUAGAAUGUGGACAUCAUUGUUGGGGCGGGGGGUCAUUAUUCUGCUCACCACAGGCAACUAAAGUCUUAUCUCCUACUACUUGAUGUGCAAAAGCAGGUGGAUUUCCCAACCUUAUAAGGACCCACAUAUCUGGAUUCAUUCUAUUCACUUCAAUCUCUGCUUGCAAUCUGGUCUCUUCUUGCCAGUGUUCAUGCUUUCUUACAAUAUCUUGUUAAAUCCAACAAGGCGUAGCCAACACUGGAAACAACUCAAAUUUCCAUUAACAUGUGAAUGGAUAGACACAUUAUGGUAUAUCCAUACAAUAGAAUACUCUAUAGCAGUAAAAAGGAAUGGACUACUGAUAAGCUCAACGAUGGAUGAAUCACAAAAUGGUUAUGCUGAAUGAAAGAAGCCAGACAAAUAUGGAGUCCCUACUAUGAGUCUAAUUAUAUAAAAUUCUAGAAAACGCAAACCAAUCUACAAUGACGGAAAGCUGAUUAGUAUUUGUCUGAGGAUGGGUUGAAAGAGGGAUGGAUUACCAAGGAAUAGGAAGAAACUUUUGGGGGUGAUGGAUAUAUUCACUGUCUUAAUUGUGGUGAUGUUUUCACAGGUGUAUACCUAUGUCAAUGCACAUCAUAUUGUAUACUUUAAAUAUAUGCUGUUUAUUCAACAUCAAUUGUAAAUACAGCAAAGCUGUAAAAAAGGGUACUAAAAGUAAAUACAGAGACAUA